ACGCGAAAGCCCCCUUCGGGGGGCAAGUAGAGUGGCGCACGGGUGAGUAACACGUAGGUAAUCUACCUUUGGAUGGGGAAUAACAACCGGAAACGGUUGCUAAUACCGCAUAAUGCAGCGGCACCUAAUGGUGACAGUUGUUAAAGCGGGGGAUCGCAAGACCUCGCGUCUGAAGAGGAGCCUGCGGCGGAUUAGCUAGUUGGUAAGGUAACGGCUUACCAAGGCUAUGAUCCGUAGCCGGCCUGAGAGGGCGGUCGGCCACACUGACACUGACAUACGGGUCAGACUCCUACGGGAGGCAGCAGUCGGGAAUUUUGGGCAAUGGGCGAAAGCCUGACCCAGCAACGCCGCGUGAAGGAUGAAAUCCUUCGGGAUGUAAACUUCGCAAGAACAGGAAGAAUAAGUAAGGGUUAAUAUCUCUUACGAUGACGGUACUGUUUGUAAGCUCCGGCUAACUCCGUGCCAGCAGCCGCGGUAAUACGGGGGGAGCAAGCGUUG
RNAcentral lists this ribosomal RNA (498 nucleotides) under uncultured bacterium. RNAcentral describes it as "bacterial SSU rRNA". It matches the Rfam family "Bacterial small subunit ribosomal RNA", at positions 66 to 543 of the family's 1533-position model. The record is from RNAcentral.